Long non-coding RNA from Oppia nitens, 301 nucleotides. RefSeq lists it as uncharacterized. The transcript is spliced from 3 exons. Lineage: Eukaryota; Metazoa; Arthropoda; Arachnida; Sarcoptiformes; Oppiidae. The record is from RefSeq and is a predicted model, not a curated record.
GUCAUAAGUAUCCCGAAGAACAGGAGUUCUUUAGGUAUACUCCUCGCGGAAAACCUGUCAAACAGGUCUUCCCUUUGGAAGGCAUUAACGUUGACUUACAUAAGUCUGAAGGCGGAACUGUAUUGAUUAGUAGUAUUAAUAUGAGAACCGGCGGUAACUACAAGUGCGAGGUUAGCGUCGAGGGAACCUUUCAGACGGUGGCCGCAGAAAAGCUAAUGACUGUCGACCCUAACAGAGCCAUGUCCUUAGUAUCGAAGCAAAUGUUGGACACAAAUAAAUUAUUGGUAAUCUUUGUGUGGAU